CCUACGCGUGGCAGCAGUGGGGGAUAUUGCACAAUGGGGGGAACCCUGAUGCAGCGACGCCGCGUGGGUGAAGAAGCGCCUCGGCGCGUAAAGCCCUGUCAGCAGGGAAGAAAAUGACGGUACCUGAAGAAGAAGCCCCGGCUAACUACGUGCCAGCAGCCGCGGUAAUACGUAGGGGUCAAGCGUUAUCCGGAUUUACUGGGUGUAAGGGGGGCGCAGACGGCGAUGCAAGCCAGGAGUGAAAGCCCGGGGCCCAACCCCGGGACUGCUCUUGGAACUGCGUGGCUGAAGUGCAGGCGGGGGAGGCGGAAUUCCUGGUGUAGCGGUGAAAUGCGUAGAUAGCAGGAGGAACACCGGUGGCGAAGGCGGCCUGCUGGACUGCAACUGACGUUGAGGCCCGAAAGCGUGGGGAGCAAACAGGAUUAGAUACCCAGUAGUC
RNAcentral lists this ribosomal RNA (439 nucleotides) under uncultured bacterium. RNAcentral's name for it is "partial 16S ribosomal RNA". It matches the Rfam family "Bacterial small subunit ribosomal RNA", at positions 338 to 795 of the family's 1533-position model. The record is from RNAcentral.